UUGAACGCUGGCGGCAGGCCUAACACAUGCCAGUCGAGCGGAUGAAGGGAGCUUGCUCCUGGAUUCAGCGGCGGACGGGUGAGUAAUGCCUAGGAAUCUGCCUGGUAGUGGGGGAUAACGUCCGGAAACGGGCGCUAAUACCGCAUACGUCCUGAGGGAGAAAGUGGGGGAUCUUCGGACCUCACGCUAUCAGAUGAGCCUAGGUCGGAUUAGCUAGUUGGUGGGGUAAAGGCCUACCAAGGCGACGAUCCGUAACUGGUCUGAGAGGAUGAUCAGUCACACUGGAACUGAGACACGGUCCAGACUCCUACGGGAGGCAGCAGUGGGGAAUAUUGGACAAUGGGCGAAAGCCUGAUCCAGCCAUGCCGCGUGUGUGAAGAAGGUCUUCGGAUUGUAAAGCACUUUAAGUUGGGAGGAAGGGCAGUAAGUUAAGACCUUGCUGUUUGGACGUUACCAACAGAAUAAGCACCGGCGAACUUCGU
RNAcentral lists this ribosomal RNA (482 nucleotides) under uncultured bacterium. RNAcentral describes it as "partial 16S ribosomal RNA". It matches the Rfam family "Bacterial small subunit ribosomal RNA", at positions 30 to 506 of the family's 1533-position model. The record is from RNAcentral.